GUUGUAUGGUCAAGUAAUGAAGUGCACAUGGUGGAUGCCUUGGCAGUCAGAGGCGAUGAAAGACGUGAUAGCCUGCGAUAAGCGUCGGUGAGGUGGCAAUAUCCUGUGACCCGGCGAUUUCUGAAUGGGGAAACCCACUUAUCAUAAGAUAAGUAUUCUAUCCUUUGGAUAGAAGGCAAACCGGGAGAAGUGAAACAUCUCAGUACCCCGAGGAAAAGACAUCAAUAGAGAUUCCCCAAGUAGCGGCGAGCGAACGGGGAGGAGCCGAUCAAAUUUACAGUAGCAAAAUGGCGUGGGAAAGCCAACCAUAGUAGGUGAUAGUCCUGUAUGCGAAACUGUUUAUGAGACAUAUUAAGUAGGGCGAGACACGUGAAAUCUUGUCUGAAGAUGGGGGGACCAUCCUCCAAGGCUAAAUACUCCUGACUGACCGAUAGUGAACCAGUACCGUGAGGGAAAGGCGAAAAGAACCCCUGUUAGGGGAGUGAAAUAGAACCUGAAACCGUGUGCAUACAAGCAGUCGGAGCGGACUUGUUCCGUGACGGCGUACCUUUUGUAUAAUGGGUCAGCGACUUAUAUUCUGUAGCAAGGUUAACCGUUUAGGGGAGCCGUAGGGAAACCGAGUCUUAAUAGGGCGUCUUAGUUGCAGGGUAUAGACCCGAAACCGAGUGAUCUAUCCAUGAGCAGGUUGAAAGUGCCGUAACAGGCACCGGAGGACCGAACCCACUGUCGUUGAAAAGCCAGGGGAUGACUUGUGGAUAGGGGUGAAAGGCUAAUCAAACUCGGUGAUAGCUGGUUCUCCCCGAAAGCUAUUUAGGUAGCGCCUCGGACGAACACCAUUGGGGGUAGAGCACUGUUUCGGCUAGGGGGUCAUCCCGACUUACCAAACCGAUGCAAACUCCGAAUACCGAUGAGUGAUAUCCGGGAGACAGACGGCGGGUGCUAACGUCCGUCGUCAAGAGGGAAACAACCCAGACCGCCAGCUAAGGCCCCAAAUUCCUAGUUAAGUGGGAAACGAUGUGGGAAGGCACAGACAGCUAGGAUGUUGGCUUAGAAGCAGCCAUCAUUUAAAGAAAGCGUAAUAGCUCACUAGUCGAGUCGGCCUGCGCGGAAGAUGUAACGGGGCUCAAACUAGGAGCCGAAGCUGCGGAUUUAAUUGUUUCAAUUAAGUGGUAGGGGAGCGUUGUGUAAGCCUGUGAAGGUGUAUCGUAAGGUAUGCUGGAGGUAUCACAAGAGCGAAUGCUGACGUGAGUAACGACAAAACGGGUGAAAAGCCCGUUCGCCGGAAGACCAAGGGUUCCAGUCCAACGUUAAUCGGGGCUGGGUGAGUCGACCCCUAAGGCGAGGCCGAAAGGCGUAGUCGAUGGGAAAUCGGUUAAUAUUCCGAUACUUGUUUAUGAUGCGAUGGAGGGACGGAGAAGGUUAUGUCAGCCUGGCGUUGGUUGUCCAGGUGAAAGGAUGUAGGUAGGUUUAGUAGGCAAAUCCGCUAGACUAUUACUGAGAUCUGAUAGCAAGCCAGUUUACUGGCGAAGUGGCAAAUACCCUGCUUCCAGGAAAAGCUUCUAAGCGAUAGUCAUAAACAAAUCGUACCCGAAACCGACACAGGUGGUCAGGUAGAGAAUACCAAGGCGCUUGAGAGAACUCUGCUGAAGGAACUAGGCAAAAUGGUACCGUAACUUCGGGAGAAGGUACGCUGCCGAUGGUGAUGGAACUUGCUUCCUGAGCUGUUGGCAGUCGCAGAUACCAGGCUGCUGCAACUGUUUAUUAAAAACACAGCACUCUGCAAACACGAAAGUGGACGUAUAGGGUGUGAUGCCUGCCCGGUGCUGGAAGGUUAAUUGAUGGGGUUAGCGUAAGCGAAGCUCUUGAUCGAAGCCCCAGUAAACGGCGGCCGUAACUAUAACGGUCCUAAGGUAGCGAAAUUCCUUGUCGGGUAAGUUCCGACCUGCACGAAUGGCAUAAUGAUGGCAGCGCUGUCUCCAGCAGAGACUCAGUGAAAUCGAAAUCGCAGUGAAGAUGCUGUGUACCCGCGGCUAGACGGAAAGACCCCGUGAACCUUUACUACAGCUUUACAUUGAACUUUGACCUAACUUGUGUAGGAUAGGUGGGAGGCUUUGAAGUGGCGACGCCAGUUGCCAUGGAGCCAUCCUUGAAAUACCACCCUGGUUAUGUUGGGGUUCUAACUUGAGAUUAACAGAUCUAAGGACAAUGUAUGGUGGGUAGUUUGACUGGGGCGGUCUCCUCCUAAAGAGUAACGGAGGAGUACGAAGGUGCGCUCAGAACGGUCGGAAAUCGUUCAAAGAGUAUAAAGGCAAAAGCGCGCUUAACUGCGAGACCCACAAGUCGAGCAGGUACGAAAGUAGGUCUUAGUGAUCCGGUGGUUCUGUAUGGAAGGGCCAUCGCUCAACGGAUAAAAGGUACUCUGGGGAUAACAGGCUGAUACCGCCCAAGAGUUCAUAUCGACGGCGGUGUUUGGCACCUCGAUGUCGGCUCAUCUCAUCCUGGGGCUGAAGCAGGUCCCAAGGGUAUGGCUGUUCGCCAUUUAAAGAGGUACGCGAGCUGGGUUUAGAACGUCGUGAGACAGUUCGGUCCCUAUCUACCGUGGGCGUUGGAAAUUUGAGAGGAUCUGCUCCUAGUACGAGAGGACCAGAGUGGACGAACCUCUGGUGUUCCGGUUGUUUCGCCAGAAGCAUCGCCGGGUAGCUACGUUCGGAUGGGAUAACCGCUGAAAGCAUCUAAGCGGGAAGCCCACCUCAAGAUAAGAUUUCCCUAAAGAGCCGUUGUAGACUACGACGUUGAUAGGUUGGGUGUGGAAGCAUGGUGACAUGUGUAGCUAACCAAUACUAAUUGCUCGUUUGGCUUGACCAUACAACACCCAAG
RNAcentral lists this ribosomal RNA (2877 nucleotides) under Moraxella bovoculi. RNAcentral describes it as "bacterial LSU rRNA". It matches the Rfam family "Bacterial large subunit ribosomal RNA". The record is from RNAcentral. Lineage: Bacteria; Pseudomonadati; Pseudomonadota; Gammaproteobacteria; Moraxellales; Moraxellaceae.